RNAcentral lists this ribosomal RNA (1246 nucleotides) under Aster yellows phytoplasma. RNAcentral describes it as "bacterial SSU rRNA". It matches the Rfam family "Bacterial small subunit ribosomal RNA", at positions 153 to 1399 of the family's 1533-position model. Lineage: Bacteria; Bacillati; Mycoplasmatota; Mollicutes; Acholeplasmatales; Acholeplasmataceae. The record is from RNAcentral.
GAAACGACUGCUAAGACUGGAUAGGAGACAAGAAGGCAUCUUCUUGUUUUUAAAAGACCUAGCAAUAGGUAUGCUUAGGGAGGAGCUUGCGUCACAUUAGUUAGUUGGUGGGGUAAAGGCCUACCAAGACUAUGAUGUGUAGCCGGGCUGAGAGGUUGAACGGCCACAUUGGGACUGAGACACGGCCCAAACUCCUACGGGAGGCAGCAGUAGGGAAUUUUCGGCAAUGGAGGAAACUCUGACCGAGCAACGCCGCGUGAACGAUGAAGUAUUUCGGUACGUAAAGUUCUUUUAUUAGGGAAGAAUAAAUGAUGGAAAAAUCAUUCUGACGGUACCUAAUGAAUAAGCCCCGGCUAACUAUGUGCCAGCAGCCGCGGUAAUACAUAGGGGGCAAGCGUUAUCCGGAAUUAUUGGGCGUAAAGGGUGCGUAGGCGGUUAAAUAAGUUUAUGGUCUAAGUGCAAUGCUCAACAUUGUGAUGCUAUAAAAACUGUUUAGCUAGAGUAAGAUAGAGGCAAGUGGAAUUCCAUGUGUAGUGGUAAAAUGCGUAAAUAUAUGGAGGAACACCAGUAGCGAAGGCGGCUUGCUGGGUCUUUACUGACGCUGAGGCACGAAAGCGUGGGGAGCAGACAGGAUUAGAUACCCUGGUAGUCCACGCCGUAAACGAUGAGUACUAAACGUUGGGUAAAACCAGUGUUGAAGUUAACACAUUAAGUACUCCGCCUGAGUAGUACGUACGCAAGUAUGAAACUUAAAGGAAUUGACGGGACUCCGCACAAGCGGUGGAUCAUGUUGUUUAAUUCGAAGGUACCCGAAAAACCUCACCAGGUCUUGACAUGCUUCUGCAAAGCUGUAGAAACACAGUGGAGGUUAUCAGUUGCACAGGUGGUGCAUGGUUGUCGUCAGCUCGUGUCGUGAGAUGUUGGGUUAAGUCCCGCAACGAGCGCAACCCUUAUUGUUAGUUACCAGCACGUAAUGGUGGGGACUUUAGCAAGACUGCCAGUGAUAAAUUGGAGGAAGGUGGGGACGACGUCAAAUCAUCAUGCCCCUUAUGACCUGGGCUACAAACGUGAUACAAUGGCUGUUACAAAGGGUAGCUGAAGCGCAAGUUUUUGGCGAAUCUCAAAAAAACAGUCUCAGUUCGGAUUGAAGUCUGCAACUCGACUUCAUGAAGUUGGAAUCGCUAGUAAUCGCGAAUCAGCAUGUCGCGGUGAAUACGUUCUCGGGGUUUGUACACACCGCCCGUCA